Molecule: long non-coding RNA, 347 nt
Filed under: Lupinus angustifolius (narrow-leaved blue lupine)
Lineage: Eukaryota; Viridiplantae; Streptophyta; Magnoliopsida; Fabales; Fabaceae
Description: long non-coding RNA (LANG_LNC001678)
Source: RNAcentral
UUGGUGUCUUCAUCAAAACCUUGCCAAUGUUAGGAGCAAAGAUCUUCUUCACACUUUGCACACAAUAGUGACAAUCACUGUCAGUUCUCUAAAUGUCAAUAUGACUACCUGUGCUAAUUAUUUUCUCUCAAUACUGAUUAUGAGUGUCAUUUUCGAAAUGCCCAUAAUAUGGCUACAUUUGCCAAUUAUUUUCCUUCAAUACUGACUACGAGUCUCAAUUCUUAAAAUUCCCACAAUAUGGCUACCUGGCCAAUUCUCAAGUGCUAUGAAAAGAAAGGGGAGAAGUUUGCCGGAAAUGCAUCGGUGAAAAUAUAUGAGGGAGAAAGAAAAAGUUAAAUGAAAACAUA